This 450-nucleotide ribosomal RNA is filed under the name uncultured bacterium. Its description in RNAcentral is "partial 16S ribosomal RNA". It matches the Rfam family "Bacterial small subunit ribosomal RNA", at positions 338 to 795 of the family's 1533-position model. The record is from RNAcentral.
CCUACGGGUGGCAGCAGUGGGGAAUAUUGCGCAAUGGGCGAAAGCCUGACGCAGCGACGCCGCGUGGGUGAUGAAGGCCUUCGGGUUGUAAAGCCCUGUCGGGUGGAACGAACGAUCUGGCGGCGAAUAACCGCCGGGUGUGCCGGUACCACCGAAGGAAGCCCCGGCUAACUACGUGCCAGCAGCCGCGGUAAGACGGAGGGGGCGAGCGGUGGUCGGAUUUACUGGGGGGGCUACGUGCGUCGGUGGCGAAAUCCCUCGGCUUAGCCGGGGACCCGCAUCCGAUACUGUCUGGCUCGAGUCUAGGAGAGGAAAGCGGAAUUCCCAGUGUAGCGGUGAAAUGCGUAGAUAUUGGGAGGAACACCGGUGGCGAAGGCGGCUUUCCGGACUAGUACUGACGCUGAGGCGCGAAAGCUAGGGGAGCGAACGGGAUUAGAUACCCUUGUAGUC